This is a long non-coding RNA of Larimichthys crocea (large yellow croaker), 586 nucleotides long. RefSeq lists it as uncharacterized. The transcript is spliced from 4 exons. The record is from RefSeq and is a predicted model, not a curated record. NCBI's taxonomy places the organism in Eukaryota, Metazoa, Chordata, Actinopteri, Sciaenidae.
CACAUUUUUAGCCUCACUGCUAUUUAUUGUAACUUCUCCAAUCACAGCGUCCAGGCAGAGGACAGCGGCGUCCACGUCGUGUAAUAAAAUCAACAGUUGGCUGAAAUCUCUCUGGCGGUGAAUGAAGACUGUGAAGACGACCUGGACCUCCCCGCCCUGAAGACCACAUUCUUGAGUGUCUUGAAGCCCAUGUAGACCUGUUUAUUGGUGGUUGGCUCGCAUUGUGAUUGUAUCUCAGCUGGUGUAACCUGCUGCAGGUAAGGAAGUGAUAAGUUACCUGAAGCAGGUUCGACCAGACAGUCAAGACUGAUGGAUUCUCCCUUCCUUUAUAAAUUUGCUUCCACCAUCAGUCCUCCAACACACCUCUACUGAUCUACCUGAACCCGUUCACACACAGGUCAUCGCGUCUCAUCAUGUCGGACUGCAGCAGAACUCGGGAUGAUGUGUUUACUCUCUUUCAAUUCCAAAUAGGCGACGAAUUACAGCAGACGAUCACGUUUUACGACAGGUGGGCGCUAACGUACAAUCAGGAUACAACGCUAAUUAACUACAGAGGAUUACAUCAUCUGUAGAUUUCCUGAACAAU